AUUGAACGCUGGCGGCAUGCCUUACACAUGCAAGUCGAACGGCAGCACGGGUGCUUGCACCUGGUGGCGAGUGGCGAACGGGUGAGUAAUACAUCGGAACAUGUCCUGUAGUGGGGGAUAGCCCGGCGAAAGCCGGAUUAAUACCGCAUACGAUCUACGGAUGAAAGCGGGGGACCUUCGGGCCUCGCGCUAUAGGGUUGGCCGAUGGCUGAUUAGCUAGUUGGUGGGGUAAAGGCCUACCAAGGCGACGAUCAGUAGCAGGUCUGAGAGGACGACCAGCCACACUGGGACUGAGACACGGCCCAGACUCCUACGGGAGGCAGCAGUGGGGAAUUUUGGACAAUGGGCGAAAGCCUGAUCCAGCAAUGCCGCGUGUGUGAAGAAGGCCUUCGGGUUGUAAAGCACUUUUGUCCGGAAAGAAAUCCUUGGCCCUAAUACGGUCGGGGGAUGACGGUACCGGAAGAAUAAGCACCGGCUAACUACGUG
This 486-nucleotide ribosomal RNA is filed under the name uncultured bacterium. Its description in RNAcentral is "partial 16S ribosomal RNA". It matches the Rfam family "Bacterial small subunit ribosomal RNA", at positions 30 to 507 of the family's 1533-position model. The record is from RNAcentral.